UACGUAGGGUGCAAGCGUUGUCCGGAAUUAUUGGGCGUAAAGAGCUCGUAGGCGGUCUGUCACGUCGGCUGUGAAAUCCCGAGGCUCAACCUCGGGUCUGCAGUCGAUACGGGCAAACUAGAGUACUGCAGGGGAGACUGGAAUUCCUGGUGUAGCGGUGAAAUGCGCAGAUAUCAGGAGGAACACCGGUGGCGAAGGCGGGUCUCUGGGCAGUAACUGACGCUGAGGAGCGAAAGCAUGGGGAGCGAACAGG
Molecule: ribosomal RNA, 253 nt
Filed under: uncultured bacterium
Lineage: Bacteria
Description: partial 16S ribosomal RNA
Rfam family: Bacterial small subunit ribosomal RNA
Source: RNAcentral